CAGCGCCACGAGUGGUAACCACGUUUAUUGGGCCUAAAGCGUCCGUAGCCGGUUUGAUAAAUCUUUUGUGAAAUUGUACAGCUUAACUGUACAGCGUGCAAGAGACACUGUCAAACUUGAGACCGGGAGGAGUCAGAAGUAUUCCAGAGGGAGCGGUAAAAUGUUAUAAUCUCUGGAGGACUACCUGUGGCGAAGGCGUCUGACCAGAACGGAUCUGACGGUGAGGGACGAGAGCUAGGGGAGCGAACCGGAUUAGAUACCCGAGUAGUCC
This 271-nucleotide ribosomal RNA is filed under the name uncultured archaeon. RNAcentral's name for it is "partial 16S ribosomal RNA". It matches the Rfam family "Archaeal small subunit ribosomal RNA", at positions 477 to 747 of the family's 1478-position model. The record is from RNAcentral.